This 249-nucleotide ribosomal RNA is filed under the name Triticum aestivum (bread wheat). RNAcentral's name for it is "partial small subunit ribosomal RNA". The record is from RNAcentral. Lineage: Eukaryota; Viridiplantae; Streptophyta; Magnoliopsida; Poales; Poaceae.
AUGAAGAUCCUUAGCUGGAACUCUCAGUGUUUGGGCCAAUCGGGUACAGUUCGUGAACUCGUGUGCCUAGUGCAUGCCCACCGCCCCUCUGUCGUGUUCAUAUCUGAAACGCGGCAGUGCGAGGAGAGCGUCAAGAAAAUAAGAUGGUGGCUUGGCCUCAAGCACUGUAUCACCCACGGCGGAGUGGGAAAAGGUGUCGGCAUCACCCUAUUUUGGGACGAUAGUGUUGAAAUAAAGACACUCUCAUAA